GUCGGGCUCAGGCCUCACCCGGCCGCUGAAAGAUAAGGGGAAGGGUACUCUCUGCAGGCACUGUUGUGGCUGUUCUAACUUUAGAUGUUCUCAAAUGGUCCUGUUUGCCCAUAGUUUUAUUGGAUGAGAGUCAUGAUUUCUGAUCGGACAUGGCUUCAAAGAGUGUUCAGCAUCUAAUAUGGAUUCACCUGCUGUUUUUCUUCUACUUCUUCACCUCGAAUCUCGAGGGGGUCCCACAUGGCUGUCCCAGCCCCACGAAGCUGGAGUCUGAGAGGUGGG
Callorhinus ursinus (northern fur seal) is the source of this 279-nucleotide long non-coding RNA. RefSeq lists it as uncharacterized. Lineage: Eukaryota; Metazoa; Chordata; Mammalia; Carnivora; Otariidae. The record is from RefSeq and is a predicted model, not a curated record.